This 165-nucleotide small nuclear RNA is filed under the name Erinaceus europaeus (western European hedgehog). RNAcentral's name for it is "U1 spliceosomal RNA (ENSEEUG00000016240.1)". It matches the Rfam family "U1 spliceosomal RNA". From Rfam's summary of the family: U1 is a small nuclear RNA (snRNA) component of the spliceosome (involved in pre-mRNA splicing). Its 5' end forms complementary base pairs with the 5' splice junction, thus defining the 5' donor site of an intron. There are significant differences in sequence and secondary structure between metazoan and yeast U1 snRNAs, the latter being much longer (568 nucleotides as compared to 164 nucleotides in human). The record is from RNAcentral. Lineage: Eukaryota; Metazoa; Chordata; Mammalia; Eulipotyphla; Erinaceidae.
AAGGUUGAUUGGCAGGGGAGAUACCAUGAUCACCAAGGUGGUUUUCCCAGGGCGAGGCUUAUCCAUUGCACUCCGGAUGUGCUGACCCCUGCGAUUUUCCCCAAAUGUGGGAAACUCGACUGCAUAAUUUGUGGUAGUGGGGGACUGCGUUCGCGCUCUCCUCUG